GAGUUUGAUCUUGGCUCAGAGUGAACGCUGGCGGUAGGCCUGACACAUGCAAGUCGAACGGCAGCACAGUAAGAGCUUUGCUCUUACGGGUGGCGAGUGGCGGACGGGUGAGGAAUACAUCGGAAUCGUACUUUUUCGUGGGGGAUAACGUAGGGAAACUUACGCUAAUACCGCAUACGACCUACGGGUGAAAGCAGGGGAUCUUCGGACCUUGCGCGAUUG
RNAcentral lists this ribosomal RNA (222 nucleotides) under uncultured microorganism. RNAcentral describes it as "partial 16S ribosomal RNA". It matches the Rfam family "Bacterial small subunit ribosomal RNA", at positions 9 to 223 of the family's 1533-position model. The record is from RNAcentral.